RNAcentral lists this ribosomal RNA (417 nucleotides) under bacterium enrichment culture clone ALO1_GLFRUDD03HA52X. RNAcentral describes it as "bacterial SSU rRNA". It matches the Rfam family "Bacterial small subunit ribosomal RNA", at positions 9 to 429 of the family's 1533-position model. The record is from RNAcentral.
GAGUUUGAUCCUGGCUCAGAUUGAACGCUGGCGGCAUGCCUUACACAUGCAAGUCGAACGGCAGCACGGGAGCUUGCUCCUGGUGGCGAGUGGCGAACGGGUGAGUAAUGCAUCGGAACGUAUCCUGGAGUGGGGGAUAACGUAGCGAAAGUUACGCUAAUACCGCAUAUUCUGUGAGCAGGAAAGCGGGGGACCUUCGGGCCUCGCGCUCUUGGAGCGGCCGAUGUCGGAUUAGCUAGUUGGUGAGGUAAAGGCUCACCAAGGCGACGAUCCGUAGCAGGUCUGAGAGGAUGAUCUGCCACACUGGAACUGAGACACGGUCCAGACUCCUACGGGAGGCAGCAGUGGGAAUUUUGGACAAUGGGGGCAACCCUGAUCCAGCCAUGCCGCGUGAGUGAAGAAGGCCUUCGGUGUAAG